CGUGGGACCAUUGGACUGUGAGCACAUCCUGGGAGUAUGCCUGCCUCGCUCUAGAUAAAGCAGGGAGGAAUUCUGAUGUACCAUCUUUACCUUCUCCUUCCGUGCCCCACGGUGACCUGCUGCAGAAUCCCACCUGGAGGCUGGGCUGGGGCUUCUCUGCCUGCCCGGGAUGUGCCUCACCAUCGCGGGCCGGUGGAGACACCUGCUGGGGGCCAGCAGAAAUGGUUCAGAUGAGCGGGAACGUUUCCUCUUAGGCUCAACAAUCCCAAUUCUCUCAACGUUUCCUCAUGGGAGAAUUGCUCCAUCCUUUUGAUCAACUCGGUGUCCUCCUCUGGACUCGCUCCAGAGGUGAAGAAACAUCUGCUGUGUCACAGCGCCGUGGGGAGAGAGACGAUAAAUACACAGAUAAUGCAAGUGCUGUUCAUCUGCGUGCGUUCAUUUCUCCCACUGUGCAAAUGCCUUCCACAGAAAUCCCUUUCCCUGGGCGAAGUCUCAGAGUGCCUGCGGGAUCAGUGACCUGUGCAGAAGCAGCUGCCAGAACACAGCUCCUGGGGCUGAUCCCCAGCUCUACACGCACCCCUUGGCAGCACAGGCAGAAGAACACCAGCAAGGUUCUCCUUAAUGCUCCAGAUGGGUUUGCCUUCCAAGAGGCCACUGAAAGUGGGAUCUGUCCAAAUGCUCAGCUCCUGCACCAGUCUCCACCAAAAGAAAAAAAUGCAACCAGCAUUCAGUGAGUAGAAGCAGUGCCUGGGCACUUCUGCAGUGCCUGCCCUGUCUGCCCAUCCCUGCUUCUCAUUUGGUUUCAGCCUCAUGCUGAGGGGUCUAAAGGAACAUUUCUGCUUUGCCGUCAUGCUCAAAUAAGAAGUGCACCUCAAAUAAGAAAUGCAUCUCUGCCUCCAAGGGGGAGACAUUGAUAGUUACCUUCUUGCAGCUGCUGGGACAAUUCUGUGUAUUUGUCCAUAAAAAGGGAGAAGGCUGCAGAGGGGACCUGCUUUUAGCACAUAUUGAGGAAAGUACUGUGUGCUGGCAGCAGGAGGUGGCACUGGAAAACCACAGACGAACAAACACGUGAGGAAAAAAGAUCCCAGUCAGGGGCACAGGGCACAGUAUGUGUGCUCAUCCUUCAUUACUUUGAUGCCCCUGUCCCUGGUGCCUCCAUAUCAGAAGCCUGAUG
Non-coding RNA from Zonotrichia albicollis (white-throated sparrow), 1174 nucleotides. Lineage: Eukaryota; Metazoa; Chordata; Aves; Passeriformes; Passerellidae. The record is from RefSeq and is a predicted model, not a curated record.